AUUGAACGCUGGCGGCAGGCCUAACACAUGCAAGUCGAGCGGAUGAAGGGAGCUUGCUCCCUGAUUUAGCGGCGGACGGGUGAGUAAUGCCUAGGAAUCUGCCUGGUAGUGGGGGAUAACGUUCCGAAAGGAACGCUAAUACCGCAUACGUCCUACGGGAGAAAGCAGGGGACCUUCGGGCCUUGCGCUAUCAGAUGAGCCUAGGUCGGAUUAGCUAGUUGGUGAGGUAAUGGCUCACCAAGGCGACGAUCCGUAACUGGUCUGAGAGGAUGAUCAGUCACACUGGAACUGAGGCACGGUCCAGAUUCCUACGGGAGGCAGCAGUGGGGAAUAUUGGACAAUGGGCGAAAGCCUGAUCCAGCCAUGCCGCGUGUGUGAAGAAGGUCUUCGGAUUGUAAAGCACUUUAAGUUGGGAGGAAGGGCAUUAACCUAAUACGUUAGUGUUUUGACGUUACCGACAGAAUAAGCACCGGCUAACUUCGUG
RNAcentral lists this ribosomal RNA (484 nucleotides) under uncultured bacterium. RNAcentral describes it as "partial 16S ribosomal RNA". It matches the Rfam family "Bacterial small subunit ribosomal RNA", at positions 30 to 507 of the family's 1533-position model. The record is from RNAcentral.